Molecule: long non-coding RNA, 1788 nt
Filed under: Aquilegia coerulea
Lineage: Eukaryota; Viridiplantae; Streptophyta; Magnoliopsida; Ranunculales; Ranunculaceae
Description: long non-coding RNA (ACOE_LNC001662)
Source: RNAcentral
UAAUUUGGAUAGGCUGCCUAGCUCUAUUGGUCCUCCUGACGGUGAAGUUUUUCCAUUUCAUUUAGGAGGGGGGAACUUCUGUGAAGUAUGGUCACGACAUGGUCCUGGUAUGACAAGUGUGAUACUUUGUAUGAACUUCCAUGUAAACCUUGUUACUGAUUAUCGCGGAAAGAAGAUUUUAGAAGCUACGAUUGAUGGAUGCAAUUCUUACACUGUGGACGGGGGGUUUAUCAAGGACUGUGUAGCUGUGACAAGUUAGAGGUAUUUGCUAUUUAGGGUCUGUUUGAUUCGAGUCUGGGAAAUAGAUUUUCCGGGAAAUCUCAAUUUCCCAUGUUUGAUUAAAUGGAAAAUAAGCGGUAAAUAUUUAAAAUGACAAAAUGUUGGGACAAAUUAGAGCUCAAUUUUGUCGAACUCUCACUACAAACAUAUUUAAAUGAUUUUUCAAAAAAAUUCAUGAUCAAUGUAGAAUUAUAACUAUUUUAUCAAAAUUUUAUUUCCCGAAUAUUUGCACAUGGUAAAUCUAUUUCCCGGUAAACUCUUUUCCCGCCCGAAUCAAACAGACCCUUAGUUUUUGUAUUAUUUAGUUUCAUGGAUCAAGUGAUUGUGUAUUUGUGGAUGGCAUUUAUUUUCAUUCUUGCUUAGUACAUCCAAAAACAUAUAGUUAUAUAUUUUUGCAAACAGUUUUUGAAAACUAAAAGAAUAGUUACAUAUUUAUUGCUUUUAGACAGUUUUGAUGUUUAAAAGCAUAGAACUGAUGUCAUUUGAACUUCCUCAAUUAUUUAACAUGAUGAAAUACAAUAUAAAAUGGUAAUAUUAUCUGUUAUUCGUUUGUGGAAAUGAAGAAUGCGAAUUUAUUGAGACACAUGUCACAUCACAUCUUUUUGUGAUUGACUAAACCACUUCUGCAGUUUUCCUUUCUUCACCCUGAUAGACUCUAGUAGUUUUUAUUAAAUAAAUUUGUUUUUAUUUGUAAAUAUAAUGUCUGCGAAUAGUCAUUUUCUUAGCUUUCAGGAUACUUAAUCUCAUUGUAUGAAGUGUUGAUCUUAUUGUAAUAUUAGUAAUUUCUUCCUGGUAUCAGUUGCUCUGUUGAAAUAAAACCCUAGCCACCAACGAGACAGAAUUCUAGCCAUACCCUCCACCACCACCACCACUUCCCCUUCAGAUGUUCUCUCUUCUCGUGCCUGCAGCAUGACGACCACCACCAUUUUUAGGCUCCAUUUUUGCACAUAAAUUAAUUAAUUGCUUCAAUUAUAACUGAGUUCUUUGCAAAAUAGUUUUGCCCGCAUUAUGUUUGUAACUAGAAUAAGAGAUUGUUUUGAAACCUUUUGGUUUCUUUUGAGUAUUUCUCUGCUUUUUACAUAAUCCAACAGUUUUGGUUUGAAAUGCAGGUUUUGAGGUUUGAGAUGAUGGUGCAUGUUCUUCAAGGAACCCAGAACUAGAAGCUGUGGAAUCUGAAAAGCCAAUGCAAGAGAUACUGUAGAUAGCUAAAGGGUGGAAUCCAGUCAAAGCCUGUGGUUUUUUCCCAAUAAAAAAUGAAGCAGGAGCUUGAUGGAGCUCUAUGGGAUUGCAUCUGUGAUGUAGCAUAAGAAAGGAGGAUGUUUGAUCCUUGAUAAAUUUCCAUUUUUUUAGGCUUCUUAACUGUGCUUCCCUAUUGGCUUUUUAGACUAGUUUCUGUGUAUCUAUGCAGUGAUGAUGUCUCUAUGUUUAAACUUAAGGAAUUUUUCCAUCUUUAAUCUUUUUCCCAUUUGAAUUAUGUGUUCUUAACUUCUUAUUGUUGGUCUUGUCUGU